GGCAAAGCUCUACAGCUCCAGAUCCUUAGAAAUAGCUCCGCUUCUAUUUUUUCUAACCAAACGGUUGAGCUUCGUGAAAUUCAGAUCUGAAAAAAACCUGGAUCCGCCGCCUCCGUUCUUUUUUCCCCUGACAUCAUUUCUCUGACCCAACGUAGUUCCUUCUCCCAACGUAGUUCCUUCUCCCAGUGCCGCCCGCCGCCCACUUCCCUUGCCUUCCUCACCAGCACUGGCCUUGGCGUGGCCGGAGGGCGCCACGGCCUUGGCGCGACGACGCCAGCGCUGGCCUUGGCCUUGGUUCGGUUGCGGCCUGCACUGGCGUUGGCCUGGCUGGGGCCCAUGGCCUGGCCUCUCUUUCAUGUCACCAGUACAGCGCGACACUCCGCAUCCACCCAAAUCGGAGCUAGGGCUACUGGCCUUGCUGCCCCCACGCAAGGCGCCAAGAGCCGCCGCAUCCAGCCGCAUCACCGCCGGUCCCACGCAAGGAGAGGCGGUGGCGGCGUCUUCUGCCGAUUCGAGGAGCAGGGGAGGCUGGAUUUGAGGAUUUGGGGCACCAGCUAACGCCCGGCUCCAGCAUGGACACGGCGUUUCUGCGUUCUCCGCUUGCUCGUAAUCUAGUUUCUGACGAGUUUGCCGUUCUUCACUCCACAAGCUACCGUUUCCAUCCUCUGCGAUAUUUGAGAUGCAACCCGACAGACUCAAGGCCCUGCCAAACACUAUCCUGCCAAACACUGUCUGCUUCACCUUUAAGGACCUGGAGUAAAUUCCAAGUUUUGUGAUCCAAUAGGGCAACUCUUGUGCAGGGCGUGACUACAAUGGAUAUUUUUCGUGACGAGCUGGCCACCAAUCUUGCUCUUGCUUAGAGGUAGAAUGUAAUGGAGUAGUAAAUUUUCAAAUUUAUUUUCUAUGUAUGGACAAUUAAUUUAUGUAUGAACAAGGUUAAUUUUAUGUCAUGUGACAACAAUGGUUAAA
Setaria italica (foxtail millet) is the source of this 969-nucleotide long non-coding RNA. RefSeq lists it as uncharacterized. The transcript has 3 exons. NCBI's taxonomy places the organism in Eukaryota, Viridiplantae, Streptophyta, Magnoliopsida, Poales, Poaceae. The record is from RefSeq and is a predicted model, not a curated record.